ACUUUGGAGAGUUUGAUCCUGGCUCAGAGUGAACGCUGGCGGCGUGGAUUAGGCAUGCAAGUCGAGCGAUCCUUGCUGGACUUUUAUUGGAGUGCUUGCACAAAGAUAAAAGACUGGCGCUGGAUAGCGG
RNAcentral lists this ribosomal RNA (130 nucleotides) under Candidatus Aceula meridiana. RNAcentral describes it as "partial 16S ribosomal RNA". Lineage: Bacteria; Pseudomonadati; Candidatus Omnitrophota. The record is from RNAcentral.